UACGUAGGUGGCGAGCGUUGUCCGGAUUUACUGGGCGUAAAGGGCGUGCAGGCGGUUUGUUAAGUGCAGGGUGAAAGCUCCCGGCUCAACUGGGGAGGGUCACGCGAUACUGAUCGACUGGAAGGCAGGAGAGGGUAGUGGAAUUCCCGGUGUAGUGGUGAAAUGCGUAGAUAUCGGGAGGAACACCAGUGGCGAAGGCGGGUCUCUGGGCAAUAACUGACGCUGAGGAGCGAAAGUGUGGGGAGCGAACAGG
RNAcentral lists this ribosomal RNA (253 nucleotides) under uncultured bacterium. RNAcentral's name for it is "partial 16S ribosomal RNA". It matches the Rfam family "Bacterial small subunit ribosomal RNA", at positions 524 to 776 of the family's 1533-position model. The record is from RNAcentral.